AUUGAACGCUGGCGGCAGGCCUAACACAUGCAAGUCGAGCGGAAGAAGGGAGUUUGCUCCUGGAUUCAGGGGCGGACGGGUGAGUAAUGCCUAGGAAUCUGCCUGGUAGUGGGGGAUAACGUCCGGAAACGGGCGCUAAUACCGAAUACGUCCUGAGGGAGAAAGUGGGGGAUCUUCGGAUCUCACGCUAUCAGAUGAGCCCAGGUCGGAUUAGCUAGUUGGUGGGGUAAAGGCGUACCAAGGCGACGAUCCGUAACUGGUCUGAGAGGAUGAUCAGUCACACUGGAACUGAGACACGGUCCAGACUCCUACGGGAGGCAGCGGUGGGGAAUAUUGGACAAUGGGCGAAAGCCUGAUCCAGCCAUGCCGCGUGUGUGAAGAAGGUCUUCGGAUUUUAAAGCUCUUUAAGUUGUGAGGAAGGACAGUAAGUUAAUACCUUGCUGUUUUGACGUUACCAACAGAAUAAGCACCGGCUAACUUCGUG
RNAcentral lists this ribosomal RNA (484 nucleotides) under uncultured bacterium. RNAcentral describes it as "partial 16S ribosomal RNA". It matches the Rfam family "Bacterial small subunit ribosomal RNA", at positions 30 to 507 of the family's 1533-position model. The record is from RNAcentral.